This 229-nucleotide ribosomal RNA is filed under the name uncultured bacterium. Its description in RNAcentral is "partial 16S ribosomal RNA". It matches the Rfam family "Bacterial small subunit ribosomal RNA", at positions 109 to 334 of the family's 1533-position model. The record is from RNAcentral.
CGGAACACGUACGCAACCUUCCCAGAACAGGUGAAUAGCCCUCCGAAAGGAGGAUUAAUACACCGUAAAAUAUAGCUGUGGCAUCACAAAUAUAUUAAAGGUAGCAAUAUCGGUUUUGGAUGGGCGUGCGCCUGAUUAGGUAGUUGGCGGGGUAACGGCCCACCAAGCCUCCGAUCAGUAACUGGUGUGAGAGCACGACCAGUCACACGGGCACUGAGACACGGGCCCG